This is a long non-coding RNA of Leopardus geoffroyi (Geoffroy's cat), 1415 nucleotides long. RefSeq lists it as uncharacterized. The record is from RefSeq and is a predicted model, not a curated record. The transcript has 3 exons. NCBI's taxonomy places the organism in Eukaryota, Metazoa, Chordata, Mammalia, Carnivora, Felidae.
CUUAAUUCCUUUCCCCUUGAGUGUAUGUUAAUUUUAAGGACUAAUGUCUAAUGAUUUGGGUAGAACAGAUGUGAAGGUAUUCACUUCUGAGAUUCGAGUGUAAAAAAUCUGCAGCUUUCUCAUUGGGAAUGUGCUUCUUCUGUCCUGGCUCACUGACUUGGGGAGAAACCACGUCAUGUACAGCCCUGUGGAGAGGCCAUGUAAGGAGGAACUCAAGCUUCUUGCCAGCAUCCAGGGGAGCGAGCUUAGAAAUGGAACCCCAACCCAGCCAACCCUCCAUAGCCUGCAGCCCAGCUGACAAUUCAGUACAACUAAGUGAAAGAUCCUGAAAAAGAACCAUCAGCUCCAAGUUUCCUGACCCUCAGAAACUGACUUCUUCUAAAGCUCGUGUCUGAAGGAUUGGAGGUCUGUCCUAGAAAGCAGCCCAGGGAGAGAAUCAGCCGUGAAGUGACCUGCCAAUAUUUUAGACCUCGAUUAAUCUGGCUGUGGAAAUAGUGACUGUCUUUUAAUUUUUUUUUUAUCAAAAUAACUUAGAGUGUCCCUUAGAGAAUUUCAGAUACUCCUAUAAUCCUGUAAGGACUGAACUAUUCUAAGACUCCACAGGUCCUGUUUUCAAAGAGAUUACAAUGUAGUGGUAAAAGUGGGUAUAGGCAUAAAAAGCCAAACAGUAUUUGUGUUUCUCAUUAUAAAGCCUACCCUGGGAUGCCAAUAGUUUCCCGUUACUAAAUACUUUCUCUUCUUUAUGGUCUCAUAGAAUGUACAUAGCAUUAAAGUUCUCUGAAAACAGCAUUAGAAGUUAUUCAUCUUUCUUCUAGCUGUAAUGCAAGCAGAAGCUUAUAUGAAGCAUCACAGGAGGAAGAAGAAACAAAAGAAACAUUCAUUGAUUGCUACAGUUUCAGAAAAGGAUUUCUAGAAGCAAUAUCACAAAUUCAGAAGCCCAUUAUUCAGUAAUAAAUGUUGUCAUCAUGGAGGGUGGCUUUGUUCAUGAGAAUUAGAUUAAAAUAAACAUAUUUAUAAGCUACAUAUCAGAGAUUAAUCCAGGGCUAAUGCAGUCUUAAUACACUUGAUCACUUUAACUUCUUGCUAAUGGUACCUUGGGUUACCAAGCAUGAGGUCACUUUUUUAUUCAUCCUAUCAUUGGAAUUGGAAUCUUAACACAUCAUCUAGUUUACAAUCUUUUAUUUUAUACCUGAAGAGACUGACUCCCAAGGAUGUUAAGCAAUUACUCCCAGUCCACACAGGUAGUGAUAUUGCUAUAAUAGAAGAUGGAUUAUUUGUCCAUGGAUUUGCAAGGGAAGAGAAUAUUCCUUUCCAAACAUUCAAAGAUACACAUGGAAAAUUAGACAUUUUCAAUAUUUUUUUAAGUUUAUUUUGAGAGUGUGCAUGGGUGUGCAAACACAAGAGGGUAUGCAUGA